CCUCCCGGCGCCGGUGAAAACCCUAGCCUCCUCGCCCCCUCGCCCGAAAAGAGAAAAGCAGCGGCACUGGCGCAUGCCUCCUCCCCGGUGUGCGCACUUGCCCGAGGGUGAGUGCGCCGCCAUCAAGCGGCCUUGCCCCGGCGCCCCUCCCUGUCGUCUUCCGCGCAGUGCCCCUCCCCAUCGUCUUCCGCGCGGCGCCCUCCCCUCCGCUGCGGCCCAGCGGCGGUGGCACCCUCCCCUCCGCCGAAUCUAGUGGGAGGGGAGGCGGCGGCGGCCCGGCGGCCUAGACCCGGCAUCCCGGAUCUAGCAGGAGGGGAGGGGACGUGAGGCGAUAACGGCCCAGCCUCCCCUCAAUCGGAUCCAGCAGGAGGGGAGCCGCGGCGAACCAGCGUCCCUUCGACGGCGGCGGCGGUUCGGCGGCGACAGCGGCACCCUCUCCUUCCGGAGGGCGAGCGAAAAUCACCGCACGGACGAGGUGACGAAAGAAAAAAUACGAAUCUCUUAAUUAGUUAAGAUAUGCAACAUAUGCUUAUAUUUUAGAACAAAAAUUGUAUAUGAGAAAUUUGGACAUGUAUGUACCAUCCGAUUUUGUAAUUUCGUAUGCACCAUAAUUCAGGAUAGAAAUUGGAUGGCAAUAGUUAAUACCCGUUAAGGGCUUCUUUGGAAUAUGGGAUUCAGAAAAACAAGAAUAGUAAAAAUGCGGGAAUAAUGCCUCGUUGAAUCCUAAAGGAAUUUUAACCA
Molecule: non-coding RNA, 741 nt
Organism: Oryza sativa Japonica Group (Japanese rice)
Lineage: Eukaryota; Viridiplantae; Streptophyta; Magnoliopsida; Poales; Poaceae
Source: RefSeq, a predicted model, not a curated record